GACGAAGGAUGCAAGCGUUAUCCGGAUUCAUUGGGUUUAAAGGGAGCGUAGGUGGCCUUAUAAGUCAGUGGUGAAAUCUCGCAGCUUAACUGCGAAAUUGCCAUUGAUACUGUAGGGCUUGAGUAUAGUUGCCGUCGGCGGAAUAUGACAUGUAGUGGUGAAAUACAUAGAGAUGUCAUAGAACACCGAUUGCGAAGGCAGCUGACGAAACUAUAACUGACACUGAGGCUCGAAAGUGCGGGGAUCAAACAGG
This 253-nucleotide ribosomal RNA is filed under the name uncultured bacterium. RNAcentral's name for it is "partial 16S ribosomal RNA". It matches the Rfam family "Bacterial small subunit ribosomal RNA", at positions 524 to 776 of the family's 1533-position model. The record is from RNAcentral.